RNAcentral lists this non-coding RNA (27 nucleotides) under Mus musculus (house mouse). Lineage: Eukaryota; Metazoa; Chordata; Mammalia; Rodentia; Muridae. The record is from RNAcentral.
UCUAAAAAACUAUCAAACUGAUUUCCA